UCACACUACAUUCAAUGAUCUUCAAGUAUAUGUGGGACUCGCUCGGUGAUUGGAGGAUCAUAUAUUAAUGCUACAAAUAAUAUGGAAGCAAAUGGUAGAGUGUGAGAAUGACAGCACAGGGAGGGAGAGGGGGAGGGGACAAAGGGAGAGGUGAUUGAAGAUAAGGCAAAGUAAUAAGGAAUCCAACAAGAGCAAUUUAUUGCAGACAGCAAGGACUAGAGGCCUCAAUUUCUUUAGACCAAAAAGUUGCUGUAAACUUGAAAAAGUUCUAAGUCAUGCCAAUUCACGUGGUGCGCAGUGUGUUGUGCUAGUUGAUACAUAACUAAAACCAGCUUUCAUUUGCUACUACCCUAUCCAACUAUCUC
Non-coding RNA from Lupinus albus (white lupine), 365 nucleotides. The record is from the annotation of a GenBank genome assembly. NCBI's taxonomy places the organism in Eukaryota, Viridiplantae, Streptophyta, Magnoliopsida, Fabales, Fabaceae.